AUGGAUGAGGAGUCGAGGUGCCCAACAAUCACUUGGGUAUGCCUUACACUAGAGACUCUGAUGGCAUUUAUGAAAUUUUUCCUUAAACCUAUGACAAGUAUGACAUUCAUGAACACUGAGCCUAGUGUGGUUGAUAGAUGGGUGUUGAGACCAACAGACCCACUCACCUUCAAGGCUUUGAACCUGCAAGGACUCUAA
Molecule: ribosomal RNA, 198 nt
Filed under: Triticum aestivum (bread wheat)
Lineage: Eukaryota; Viridiplantae; Streptophyta; Magnoliopsida; Poales; Poaceae
Description: partial small subunit ribosomal RNA
Source: RNAcentral